This 84-nucleotide transfer RNA is filed under the name Rhodotorula sp. JG-1b. Its description in RNAcentral is "tRNA-Pro". Lineage: Eukaryota; Fungi; Basidiomycota; Microbotryomycetes; Sporidiobolales; Sporidiobolaceae. The record is from RNAcentral.
GGCCUGAUGGUCUAGAGGCAUGAUUCUCUCUUAGGGUUAAACAUCGUUUGGGAGAGGUCCCGGGUUCAAUCCCCGGUUAGGCCC